GGAGAUGUCAUGGUCCAAGGGUAGAGCAUCUGGUUGGCACACAGACGAUCCCGGGUUCGAUCCCCAGGGUCUCUA
Molecule: transfer RNA, 75 nt
Filed under: Sphaerodactylus townsendi
Lineage: Eukaryota; Metazoa; Chordata; Lepidosauria; Squamata; Sphaerodactylidae
Description: tRNA-Ala
Source: RNAcentral